AGUUCGUAACCGUAAGGAGCGACCUAAGGCAAAACCGGUGACUGGGGCUAAGUCGUAACAAGGUAGCCGUACCGGAAGGUGUGGCUGGAACACCUCCUUU
This 100-nucleotide ribosomal RNA is filed under the name Prevotellaceae bacterium. Its description in RNAcentral is "partial 16S ribosomal RNA". It matches the Rfam family "Bacterial small subunit ribosomal RNA", at positions 1425 to 1533 of the family's 1533-position model. Lineage: Bacteria; Pseudomonadati; Bacteroidota; Bacteroidia; Bacteroidales; Prevotellaceae. The record is from RNAcentral.